AACCGGUUGACGUUGAAAAGUCUUCGGAUGACCUGUGGGUAGGGGUGAAAGGCCAAUCAAACUCGGAAAUAGCUCGUACUCCCCGAAAUGCAUUUAGGUGCAGCGUUGAUUUAGUUUUAUAGAGGUAGAGCUACUGAUUGGAUGCGGGGGCUUCACCGCCUACCAAUUCCUGACAAACUCCGAAUGCUAUAA
Molecule: ribosomal RNA, 192 nt
Filed under: Partenskyella glossopodia
Lineage: Eukaryota; Cercozoa; Chlorarachniophyceae
Description: partial Bacterial large subunit ribosomal RNA
Rfam family: Bacterial large subunit ribosomal RNA
Source: RNAcentral